Molecule: long non-coding RNA, 371 nt
Filed under: Amborella trichopoda
Lineage: Eukaryota; Viridiplantae; Streptophyta; Magnoliopsida; Amborellales; Amborellaceae
Description: long non-coding RNA (ATRI_LNC005503)
Source: RNAcentral
UGCCGUAUGAGACAGAGAAGAGAAAGAAGAAAGAGAGAGAAAAAUAAAAGAAGAGAGAAGAAGAGAGAAUGAGAGAGAAGAAGAUCGUGCUCAGCAGUGUGCACUAUCGUGUGAGACAGAGAGAAGAAAGAAGAGAGAGAAAAAGAAUAGAGAGACAGAAGAGAGAAAGAGAGAACAGAGAGAAAGAGAGAAGAGAGAGAAAAGAGAGUGAAUAGAGAUAAAAUGAGAAGAGAGAGAAAGAGACAAGAGAGAAAAAGAGAAAAGAGAAAAGAGAGAGAAAGAGAGAAAGAGGGAAGAGAGAAAGAGAUGAGAGGAGAAAGAGUCACCUUAAGCCCAAGGGUACCAACCAAAAAUCUUCUCUCUCCUCUCUC